RNAcentral lists this RNase P RNA (395 nucleotides) under Anopheles culicifacies. Its description in RNAcentral is "nuclear RNase P". It matches the Rfam family "Nuclear RNase P". Rfam says of the family: Ribonuclease P (RNase P) is a ubiquitous endoribonuclease, found in archaea, bacteria and eukarya as well as chloroplasts and mitochondria. Lineage: Eukaryota; Metazoa; Arthropoda; Insecta; Diptera; Culicidae. The record is from RNAcentral.
CUAGUGGUAAUCUCGCACUUGGAGCACCCGUACGAGUACCUGGUUACUCUGGUUUGUUUGCUUCGGGAAGGUCUGAGAUAAGGCACGCAAAUAUGCCUCAGCAAGGCAACUCUUUGAAAAGGGUGUUCGCUACCAGCAAUUCAUCAGUUGUGGAUGCCGCGGUGUUCUGCUUUAACCAAGGAGGAUUAUGCUUCGUAGCUCACUAAAAAUGCGUCCCCGGACGUAUGCGCGGUGUGGUUUGGUGCGUAGUUCUUUCUAGUUUCGGUGGACACUGAUUGAAAACAGCGGAUUGCCAGCCAUUUGAGUCAAAUAUGCGAGCUACUAUCGGGGAGUGUCGGUUGCCAGCAAUUGGUGCUCUCUGGGGUAGAACUCAAUUCAGACUAAUCUAUCACUAG